UAUCCGUCAACGGAGCUUGCUCCACCGAAAGAAAAAGAGUGGCGAACGGGUGAGUAACACGUGGGUAACCUGCCCAUCAGAAGGGGAUAACACUUGGAAACAGGUGCUAAUACCGUAUAACACUAUUUUCCGCAUGGAAGAAAGUUGAAAGGCGCUUUUGCGUCACUGAUGGAUGGACCCGCGGUGCAUUAGCUAGUUGGUGAGGUAACGGCUCACCAAGGCAACGAUGCAUAGCCGACCUGAGAGGGUGAUCGGCCACACUGGGACUGAGACACGGCCCAGACUCCUACGGGAGGCAGCAGUAGGGAAUCUUCGGCAAUGGACGAAAGUCUGACCGAGCAACGCCGCGUGAGUGAAGAAGGUUUUCGGAUCGUAAAACUCUGUUGUUAGAGAAGAACAAGGAUGAGAGUAAAACGUUCAUCCCUUGACGGUAUCUAACCAGAAAGCCACGGCUAACUACGUGCCAGCAGCCGCGGUAAUACGUAGGUGGCAAGCGUUGUCCGGAUUUAUUGGGCGUAAAGCGAGCGCAGGCGGUUUCUUAAGUCUGAUGUGAAAGCCCCCGGCUCAACCGGGGAGGGUCAUUGGAAACUGGGAGACUUGAGUGCAGAAGAGGAGAGUGGAAUUCCAUGUGUAGCGGUGAAAUGCGUAGAUAUAUGGAGGAACACCAGUGGCGAAGGCGGCUCUCUGGUCUGUAACUGACGCUGAGGCUCGAAAGCGUGGGAGCGAACAGGAUUAGAUACCCUGGUAGUCCACGCCGUAAACGAUGAGUGCUAAGUGUUGGAGGGUUUCCGCCCUUCAGUGCUGCAGCAACGCAUUAAGCACUCCGCCUGGGGAGUACGACCGCAAGGUUGAAACUCAAGGAAUUGACGGGGGCCCGYACAAGCGGUGGAGCAUGUGGUUAAUUCGAAGCAACGCGAAAACCUUACAGGUCUUGACAUCCUUUGACCACUCUAGAGAUAGAGCUUCCYCUUCGGGGGCAAAGUGACAGGUGGUGCAUGGCU
Molecule: ribosomal RNA, 1001 nt
Filed under: Enterococcus gallinarum
Lineage: Bacteria; Bacillati; Bacillota; Bacilli; Lactobacillales; Enterococcaceae
Description: bacterial SSU rRNA
Rfam family: Bacterial small subunit ribosomal RNA
Source: RNAcentral